Molecule: ribosomal RNA, 245 nt
Filed under: uncultured bacterium
Lineage: Bacteria
Description: partial 16S ribosomal RNA
Rfam family: Bacterial small subunit ribosomal RNA
Source: RNAcentral
UACGAAGGGUGCUAGCGUUGUUCGGAAUUACUGGGCGUAAAGCGCGCGUAGGCGGCUUUUCAAGUCAGGGGUGAAAUCCUUGGGCUCAACCCAAGAAUUGCCUUUGAAACUGUAAAGCUGGAGUGUCGGAGGGGAUAGCGGAAUUCCUAAUGUAGAGGUGAAAUUCGUAGAUAUUAGGAGGAACACCGGUGGCGAAGGCGGCUAUCUGGACGACAACUGACGCUGAGGCGCGAAAGCACGGGGAU